GUCGAGCGGUAGAGAGAAGCUUGCUUCUCUUGAGAGCGGCGGACGGGUGAGUAAAGCCUAGGAAUCUGCCUGGUAGUGGGGGAUAACGUUCGGAAACGGACGCUAAUACCGCAUACGUCCUACGGGAGAAAGCAGGGGACCUUCGGGCCUUGCGCUAUCAGAUGAGCCUAGGUCGGAUUAGCUAGUUGGUGAGGUAAUGGCUCACCAAGGCGACGAUCCGUAACUGGUCUGAGAGGAUGAUCAGUCACACUGGAACUGAGACACGGUCCAGACUCCUACGGGAGGCAGCAGUGGGGAAUAUUGGACAAUGGGCGAAAGCCUGAUCCAGCCAUGCCGCGUGUGUGAAGAAGGUCUUCGGAUUGUAAAGCACUUUAAGUUGGGAGGAAGGGCAUUAACCUAAUACGUUAGUGUUUUGACGUUACCGACAGAGUAAGCACCGGCCAACUCUGUGCCAGCAGCCGCGGUAAU
Molecule: ribosomal RNA, 468 nt
Filed under: uncultured bacterium
Lineage: Bacteria
Description: bacterial SSU rRNA
Rfam family: Bacterial small subunit ribosomal RNA
Source: RNAcentral